CCUACGGGUGUCAGCAGUGAGGAAUAUUGGUCAAUGGGCGUAAGCCUGAACCAGCAAAGUCGCGUGAGGGAUGACGGUUCUAUGGAUCGUAAACCUCUUUUAUAAGGGAAUAAAGUGCGGGACGUGUCCCGUUUUGUAUGUCCCUUAUUAUUAAGGAUCGGCUAACACCGUGCCAGCAGCCGCGGUAAUACGGAGGAUCCGAGCGUUAUCCGGAUUUAUUGGGUUUAACGGGUGCUUAGGCGGCCUUUUAAGUCAGCGGUGAAAGUCUGUGGCUCAGCCAUCGAAUUGCCGUUGAAACUGGGAGGCUUGAGUAUGUUUGAGGAAGGCGGAAUGCGUGGUGUAGCGGUGAAAUGCUUAGAUAUCACGCAGAACCCCGAUGGCGAAGGCAGCCUGACAAGCCAUGACUGACGAUGAUGCACGAAAGCGUGGGGAUCAAACAGGAUUAGAUACCCGUGUAGUC
Molecule: ribosomal RNA, 460 nt
Filed under: uncultured bacterium
Lineage: Bacteria
Description: partial 16S ribosomal RNA
Rfam family: Bacterial small subunit ribosomal RNA
Source: RNAcentral